This 72-nucleotide transfer RNA is filed under the name Sphaeriodesmidae sp. MPE04651. RNAcentral describes it as "tRNA-Val". Lineage: Eukaryota; Metazoa; Arthropoda; Diplopoda; Polydesmida; Sphaeriodesmidae. The record is from RNAcentral.
UCAUAUUAGAGUUUGUUGUAUGUUGAAUCUUUCAUUUACAUUGAAAGGGUCUCUGUUUAUUAGAGUAAUAUG